RNAcentral lists this ribosomal RNA (305 nucleotides) under uncultured bacterium. Its description in RNAcentral is "bacterial SSU rRNA". It matches the Rfam family "Bacterial small subunit ribosomal RNA", at positions 332 to 635 of the family's 1533-position model. The record is from RNAcentral.
UUUACCCCACGGGAGGCAGCAGUGAGGAAUAUUGGUCAAUGGGCGGGAGCCUGAACCAGCCAAGUCGCGUGAGGGAAGACGGUCCUAUGGAUUGUAAACCUCUUUUGUCGGGGAGCAAAGAGGCCACGUGUGGUCAAAAGCGAGAGUACCCGAAGAAAAAGCAUCGGCUAACUCCGUGCCAGCAGCCGCGGUAAUACGGAGGAUGCGAGCGUUAUCCGGAUUUAUUGGGUUUAAAGGGUGCGCAGGCGGAUUUUUAAGUCAGCGGUCAAAUCGUGGGGCUCAACCCCAUCCAGCCGUUGAAACUG